This 421-nucleotide long non-coding RNA is filed under the name Chloebia gouldiae (Gouldian finch). Its description in RNAcentral is "Erythrura gouldiae (Gouldian finch) lncRNA (ENSEGOG00005004733.1)". The record is from RNAcentral. Lineage: Eukaryota; Metazoa; Chordata; Aves; Passeriformes; Passeridae.
GAAAACUCAGCUCCUAGGUUGCCUGAGAGGGAUAUGAAAACGGAAUCAGGCUUCUCUACCCUCAUCCAGCUCAGUCACAGGUAUGUCUUUCCAAGGAUUCAAAUCAUCACUGAAGGCAAAAGCCCUCACAGACACGAGGACACCAAAGUCCUUCAAAGCACAGCCAUAGGAAAUGCUGGUCACCAUUUCAACAGCUCUAAAACUGGAUGCUGCAGGUGUCUCGCAUUGACAGCUGCAAUUUUACUGAUGCUGUGCAGCACAGGAUGUCCACUCUCAUUAUGUUUCAAAACACAGGAAAUGCAACUUAGUAUAUGAACGCAUAAGAAGGAAGGAACCUUUUAAAGUUCAAGGUAAUUGCCAUGAUUUUAAAGUUGCUGGAGGAGGAGAAGACAGCAUUUCAUGGAUCCUUUACUUGAUUUUG